Molecule: non-coding RNA, 4752 nt
Organism: Malus domestica (apple)
Lineage: Eukaryota; Viridiplantae; Streptophyta; Magnoliopsida; Rosales; Rosaceae
Source: RefSeq, a predicted model, not a curated record
GAAUGUGGCUGGGUUGGGGGUAAUUCUCAAAAAUUCAGAGGGUGAUUUUGUCUUUUGAGGUCAAUUCCUCCCCCCUCGAUUUUGCUUUAUUUACAACAAAACCGUGGGAUUUGGGGCUGGGUUGAAACGUAGUUAUUAAAAGUUAGGAGGGUAAUUUUGUCCUGUGCAUUUGAGACGGAUUGGGGUGGGUUUGGGUUUGCUGUCAUUCAGUGCAGGUUUCGGGGAUGGCAGGCCAUGCUUCCUCUGAGAGAUGGAUAGAGACAGACGGAGCGAGAGAGAGAGGGAGAGGAAGGAGUGGGGAUCUCAUCACCAUUACUGCAGAUCCUCGAUUUCAUGAGAGUGGGAGAGGGGGGACAGUCAGAGAAAAGCAUGGGGGGCCUUCGGGACUCGCAGACCCCGCGAGAACGACACAGACGGUCUCGCCUCCGUCGUCUUACUCCUCAUUUCUCUGUCUCUGGAAUCGAUCGAUCUAUUCGAAGAGGAUCGACAGUUCUGAAAUGGUAUUUAGAUUGGUAAGGGUUGUGCGUGUGCGGUUGAUGAUCGUGGAAGCCAGCGACGCCCAGAUUGCAACAUCGAAUCCUCUUCGAUCCUUAUUCCCAAUAGCUCUCCCUCUGAUUUGUCAUCAGGUAAGAAGGAACCUACUGGCCUCAGAUUGGAUGAUAAACGUGAAGAAAUCACACUGACCAAACCGAAUUCAACAAUCCCAGAGGUUGAAAACCACUGAGAAGAAAAGAUCUCUCUCUCGAUCUACUUUAAAGUGAUUGAAAAUUGGGUUUGGUGAUUUUUCUGCUGUUUUUGUAUGUUUUAGCUAUUAAUUGCCUUAUAGAGGUUUUUUUGUUGCUGUGAUAUUUGUUGAACUGAAAAGGGUUUGAAGGCUGCUGCUUUACCGUUCGAUUUGCAGAUUCCAUGUUGCAUGUGCUGCUUUAUUGCAAUUUUUUAAAUUCAUGUAUGAGGUACAAGGAAGAUAAACGACUAAAAACCAAGUUGGCCUGCAGGGUUAUCUGUAUUUGUGUUAUAUCGAUAAUUCUAGGACUUAUCAUAUCAUGUUCCUAACUUGAUGCUCUGGGCAUCUUCUCCUACAAUUAAUAGUUGCACCUUAAUUUGAUCGACCAAAUUUGGUGAAACACCAGACAAACAGAAAUCCAUGCAUACAGAGCCAACUGCACUGAAGCAUGAAUUGAAAAAAAAAUAAUGUACAUGAUUAUAAUUCCACUACUUAAUUUGUUCCAAGUCGCCACAAAUUUCAGAAAUCAAACGUGCAAAAUUUCUAUGCAUGUUUUGAAGUUGGUUGUAGGAAGUGGGCUUCCAAGUCUUAACAAUAAUGGAGACUAUGAAAUCAUGGUAAGCAAAUGGGGGUAGCUAUAUAUUUCAAAAACGCAUAUUUUACACACACACACACACACAUUCUGUCAAGAAUCAGUUUUGAUUGGCACAGAUGAAGAUGAAAAAUAAGAGGGUUUUCUAUUCAAAUUUACUUUUUAUAAUUUUAGGGGUUUUGAUCAUACAUGUGUAUUUAAUUUGGUUUUGUUUUCAGUUUCAGGAGACUCUGGUUUUUCGUUUUUUAGGCCUUUUCUUUGCAGCAUAGAAAGCCCUCUGUGCUCAAGGAACCCUGUUUCCCCCUUUUGUCUCUCUGUGCACUCAGAAAACAAGCCACCCUAAUUGAAUCUUUCUAUCUUCAGAUCAUCAGCAAUAAUCUCAUCAAGGUCCCAGGAGGAAUCAUGAGGAUUCACUACCGAAUUGGUAUGUACUUAUGCUUUUGCAAAAAGCCCUUUUCUUGCCUUUUUUCUGUUUUAGAAUUGGGACCAAAAUGAUUAUCAGUGAUUUUGAAAAACACUGAGAUAGAAAAAAUGGCUAUCAAGCAAGCAGGUUGUGAGUAUUCAAACAUAUAAUUUUCAGUCAAAUGAAAUAGUUGGUACCACAAGCUUUUAAGUAGGGAGGGAUGUUUGAUUAUAUAUUUAAAUUAAGCAAAGAAUCUUGCAUAAAAAAAUGAUCCAAGUUGAAGUAAAUGAAAUAUAUGGUGCAACAACUGUUAGUUUGGUCAGUCUUCAUCACGCUAAUCAAAUGAGCCCGAGGGGUCGAUUUCCACAGUAUAGACUUCGAAGCCCUACAAGGUAAAUAAUUUAGUAUCCUUUGAGGAUUUUGUAUUUGGAGAAUGUUGUUUCCUUUUUUUUUGUGUGUUUUAGGUGGUGUUGCAUAAGUUAGUUUUGUUCUAAGUUGUAAAUGAUUAUGCUUUAUUCGUAUGCAUUCUAUGUUGGUACUGAGGUUUACAAUUUUUUUAUUCUCUCCUCAAUUGUUAUUUUCCUUUUACUGUAUAUUGUAUCUUCUGUUUGGAAAUGCCUCUGUUUUUUUACUUGCUGAGAAUGCCUCUGUCAGGGGUGGCUCAACAGGACCGGGAAAUCUGGAGAGGGGCGAGGGGGUUAGCAGAGGGGGGGAUUGGGAGCAUCAAGGCUAGGUUACCAGGAUGGUGUUUGGGUGGGUUUGGCAGUGGGUCAUAUGGGGGAGGGUAGUGAUGCAUUCCGAACUCACGAAGCUGCACAAACAUUACGAGUACAUCACCAUCAAAAAAUUUCAUAUUUAUUUGUUAUACCCUUAACAGUAAAUAAUUUACAUGUGAAAUCUAGGUAAAAACAUGAUAUCUUUAUAGACAUUGAAAUAAAGACAGCCACAAAUUGUCAUACACUUUCACAGAGUUUUUUUAAACUUAGAAGACACCGGAAACACGAUUCGCAUAGCAGAAUAGCUUACAGAUGAUAUAAUAGUGAGAUAACAAAGUUCUCAACUGAGGGUUCAGAGAGACUCAUUUCUAUGUCCAAUUAUGAAGCAUCUUUUGAUUUUUAUUGAUAUAAAGACCUUUCUUUCUCCAAUUAUGCCUUUGUCAACACUUUUUGGUUUAAAUGUACUCAUUUAGUGCUCACAUUUAUCUGAUAGACCAGAUGAAAAAAGAGGGAAACAUGGAUUAUAUAUGCACGAAGGGCACCACAACAAACGUGUGAAUCUUCCUGCACCACCAGUCUCUGCAACGUUUUCCAAAACCCGCUUGACCGAAGGACAAGGAGUUGGACCCUGGAUCUAACGACUUUCUGGGUUAGUAACUUUUAUAAUAUGCUGAGUUUUUAUUCUAAUGAUUGUUUAUUUUUUAUCGUACUCUCUCUUGAUCUAAGUUAACCCAUAUGCGCACACACAAUCACAAUAAGUUUGGGUUCUGGUUUAGAUAUUUAUAUUUUUGGAUAUUGGAAAUUGUAUUUUCUUUAGAUUAAUCCCAGAGCAUGUAGGUAUUUUUUAAAUUUAUUUACUAAUUUUAACUUUGGCUUUUAAGUUUGAGUUCUGGUUUUUAAUAUUUAUAUUUGUGUACAAUUUGAUGCUAUGAAAGGGUUUGAUGAUUUCAAUGACAACUGUUUCUUUUCCAAAAGAUGAUUGGGAAGCAGUUGCUAAGUGACGAUUCUCCUUAUCCUUUUAGAAGCCUUCUUCACCUGCUAUAACUUCCAUGUUUUGGUUUGUUAUGAAAUGAAUUCCCUUUUACCGUAAAAAAAUAAAAUAAAGGUACAAUGUUAUCAAAUUCGAUUUUUCUAAUCAUUCGAAUGCUGGGAAUGUUGGGGUUUCUUACAGUUAAAUCUUUGCAUGUAUUUUUUUUUCUUUCUAAUUUUCUGAUUUUCAGUUUUAUCUUUUUUUCUUUCUCAAUUAUACCAAGAUAUUGCUUAAUGCAUAGACACAUAAAUGAUUCAAAAAAUGGUUGUACCAAGAGAAAAAAAAUGUUGGAUUGUCUGCAAAGCGCCAAAGCAAAGAGAGGAAUAUAAUGUGUAAAUAUAAUUGGUUAUUCAAAUACAAACUUCUUUGCUUGAUCGCUAGAAUUUCAGUAUAAAUAAGAUUUUAGUUAGAUGUUAUAGAUGAUCAAACUAAAACAAGUCAAUUUGCUAUACAGAAGCUCUACAAAUCAGUCUUCCUUUCUUUUCUAACCCAUCGUCCUUUCAUUUCAUCUUCAUUCUGGAGCCCUCCCUAUUUUCCACAUCUCCUCUCGCACUACCUAAAGCCGAAACCAAACCCACCUAUGCAGGAAUCAAAUCGCAGGUCUCCGACACCCAGAGUGGUGCAUAUCUCGAUUGACAAGGAUGAACAGAAGCGGAUAUAACAAUAGUGAGACCAAUAUGAGAUCCAACGGAAAAAAAAAUAGCGGCAAAGAAGCCGAGGCCUACGGAUACAAAAGGAAAAGUCUUGAAGUGCAGGAAGCAUUGCGGUGUACCAUGUGCAGAUGAUUAGGGAGGGUGCAAUACCAAGUGAAGAAUUACACCUUCAGAAGAGCUCUUGGGUUGUCAAUUGUGACUGGAAAUGUCUUAUUCAUGUGGUUGCAUUCGAGUUCCGCAGCAACGCACGGGCAUCUUUGCUAGUAUAUACUAAUGGAAGAAAUUUGGGCAACUUGUAUACCAUGCAAUGUUAGAGUAAAUGUAGAAAUUUAGAGAAUAAUCCGAAUGAUGACUUUGAGGUACGACUUGAAUCGUUUCCUUAAAGUGUUAUUUAACCCCCUCCCCCCCACUCAAAUGAGUUUGCUAAAGGGUUCUUGGCCAAUCACUUCCAAAAUACAACAAAGUAUGGAAUAUUCGAUUAGCAAAACCGAAUUAUAUUCCAUUAGAAAUAACUAGAAAGUAAUUCUAUGAAUGUGAUGGAGAGAGUAGAGAGCAAGGAAUGUAGAAAUAAAUUUCUGAAAUUGUGUGUGAAACAUUAUGCCACAAUAGGUAUUUAUAGGCAUUAAGGCACCCA